RNAcentral lists this ribosomal RNA (609 nucleotides) under uncultured archaeon. RNAcentral describes it as "bacterial SSU rRNA". It matches the Rfam family "Archaeal small subunit ribosomal RNA", at positions 319 to 928 of the family's 1478-position model. The record is from RNAcentral.
GGCCCUACGGGGUGCAGCAGGCGCGAAAACUUUACAAUGCUGGCAACAGCGAUAAGGGAACCUCGAGUGCCAGGUUACAAAUCUGGCUGUCGAGAUGCCUAAAAAGCAUUUCAUAGCAAGGGCCGGGCAAGACCGGUGCCAGCCGCCGCGGUAACACCGGCGGCUCGAGUGGUAACCGUUAUUAUUGGGUCUAAAGGGUCUGUGGCCGGCCGGAUAAGUCUCUUGGGAAAUCUGGCAGCUUAACUGUCAGGCUUUCAGGAGAUACUGUCUGGCUCGAGGCCGGGAGAGGUGAGAGGUACUUCAGGGGUAGGGGUGAAAUCUUGUAAUCCUUGAAGGACCACCAGUGGCGAAGGCGUCUCACCAGAACGGACCUGACGGCAAGGGACGAAAGCUAGGGGCACGAACCGGAUUAGAUACCCGGGUAGUCCUAGCCGUAAACGAUACUCGCUAGGUGUCGGCCACGGUGCGACCGUUGUCGGUGCCGUAGGGAAGCCGUGAAGCGAGCCACCUGGGAAGUACGGCCGCAAGGCUGAAACUUAAAGGAAUUGGCGGGGGAGCACCACAACGGGUGGAGCUUGCGGUUUAAUUGGAUUCAACGCCGGAAAUCUU